RNAcentral lists this ribosomal RNA (253 nucleotides) under uncultured bacterium. RNAcentral describes it as "partial 16S ribosomal RNA". It matches the Rfam family "Bacterial small subunit ribosomal RNA", at positions 524 to 776 of the family's 1533-position model. The record is from RNAcentral.
AACGGAGGGGGCAAGUGUUACUCGUCAUAACUGGGCGUAAAGGGUAUGUAGGCGGUUUUUUAAGUUAAAAAUAAAAUCUUAGUGCGAAACGCUAAUUAUGUUUUUAAUACUAAAAAUCUAGAGUGCGAAAGAGGAAAGUGGUAUUCUUAUUGUAGAGGUGAAAUUCUGAGAUAGUAAGAGGACGAUCGAAGGCGAAGGCAACUUUCUGGGUCGAUACUGACGCUGAGGUACGAAAGCAUGGGGAGCAAACAGG